This is an RNA transcript of Schistocerca americana (American grasshopper), 3097 nucleotides long. RefSeq lists it as uncharacterized. Lineage: Eukaryota; Metazoa; Arthropoda; Insecta; Orthoptera; Acrididae. The record is from RefSeq and is a predicted model, not a curated record. The transcript is spliced from 4 exons.
GACGGCAAAUGCUGUGGCUACUGUGAUUCGGAGGAAGAGAUCAAAAGACUACAGAAUAGUCUUAAGUGCAUAGGGUAUUCAUACUCGGUAAGGAGCAGCCACCAUCGCCAAAAAUUGCAUGAAACCGCCACCAGUAACCCACGAAUCUUCUUCCAGCAAUUUCAGGGUAAAGUUGAAAUCCCAUUUAUGGGAUAUCCGUUUUCGGUGGAAUAUUCCAGCUACCAACAAUGCACCCUGGGCCCCUAAUAUUACAGUAAAAAGGAGACUGUUGUUCCAAGUCACCUGGCUGACCAUGUUAACCCAGCAAAAAAGAGAUUGUUGAUUAUGGAUACGAAAAAGAGCGAUUGCCCUGCCACUUUUUCAAUUAAAUGUGUUAAAGUGUAUCCAGGCUAUUCUGUUCAAUCAGUAGAUGAUCGUGAAAUUAAAAAGAAAGUUGUCCACAGUUUAAAACAGGCUUUGGAGGCAGCCAAUAAGCCUGAAAGUGUUCUUCGCUUUUAUGUGAGGGCGUCACCACCAGACCACCAUACCCACAGCACAGAAAGCAUAAAAGCAAGUGGAGACAUACAUCCCUUGCUAGCUGUGGAAUAGCAAAAGUUGUUGAAGAUGGAACUACAUCUGUGAGAAUAAUAAAGUUGCAUCUUGAAAGAUUUGUGAACAUAACCUUCACAGGACCACACAAGCCAGAUAAUAUGAACACUACAUUUUACCCCAAACAUCUCACAAUAUAUAGUCAUGUAUACAGGGCCCUUAAGAAAUGGAAGAAAAGUGUAUUUGACCAAGAGGCUUUGCAAAUGCAGAUUAAUGAGUGGCAGAAAGAAUAUAGAGGUGACAAUAUUUUUUUCAGACCUUUUUCAGAUGUUGAUGGAGAAAUACAGCCAUUGCUGUUUUGUUACGAGAGUGCAUGGCAGAAGGAUAUGUUAAAAAAAUAUGGAGAUGUAUGUUUGCUUGAUGCCACCUACAAAACAACAAAAUAUGACAUUCCUUUAUUUUUUGUCACAGUAAAGGCAAACAGAUGCUGUUUAGUGGUAGGUUUUUUCUUUAUUCAGGUAGAAGAUACAAGGUCAAUUGCUGAAGCGCUACUUGUUUUCAAGAGGUGGAAUACAGACUUCAACCCAACCUACUGGGUUACUGAUUUCUCAGAGUCCGAGAUAGCAGCAAUUAAAGAAAUAUUUCCAUUUUCAAAAGUGUACUUGUGUUCAUUUCACAGGGAACAGGCUUGGGGCGAUGGGUUAAAAAGGGAGGGAAUCUAACUGUAGGAACUGAUAAGGAGUCUGUUCUGGAGCUUGUGGCGCUAUGUUGCAGCGUCUCCAUCUGAGGAACAGUUCAGACUCAAUGUUGAAAUGUUAGAGACUCAUGAGGUUUUUCGUAGGAACCCCAAGCCACUUAUUUAUUUUAAAAAUCAAUGGCUCUCAGUUGCUGAAAAGUGGGUGAGAGCUUUCGAGAAUAUUGGCACAUUUGCCAAUAUUAGAACCACAAACGGUGCUGAAACAAUGAACAAGAAGGUAUUAGUAAAUAGUUUCAUUCCUGGCCUCAUGAAAAAGUAUUGCCAAAUGAAUUCUGUUAUUAGAAAGAACAAUGAAGUUGUACCUGCAUUUUUGCAUGGAAAGACACAGGAAAAUAUAACACACGUGUGGAAACGAUAUUCUUCUGCAGAAGAAAGCUUCAGUAAAGAGUCAGUGUCAGUAAUAAGUGAGGGUGUUUUUUCCGUGAAAAGCGACACUUCAAAAGAUCUUAGGUAUACUGUAAACUUUGUGGAACCAAGUUGUACAUGUGAAGAUUACCAAAAGCACAAAUAUAUGUGUAAACAUUUGUGCCAUCUUUAUUUUCUAUCCUCAAUGGGGUUUUGACAAAGUAAAUGAAAAGUACAGAAAUAGCCCGUUAAUUUGUUUGGAUAGGACAUGUGGGUAUGGUGCAAGUGGCAGCUGUAUUUCACAGACUGAUUCUGCACUGCGUUAAUUAGAGGAGUCCAGCAGUGAUGAUGCUAUGAAUGAAGAGCAUAACAUUCCUGAACCAUCAGCUUCUCCUUCAUCUCUGUUUCGAGAGGCAAGAGAGAGACGUCGGAAUAUUAUAACUCUCACAUACAGUUGUGACAAUGACACGAUAAAAAAGUGUUAGAGGCACUUAAAAAUGUGGAACAUAUUGGAAGGUUGUCGAACCCUACAGAAAAUCGUCUUCCUUUAACAGCGACAUCAUCUUCAAAAAUGUAGGAACACUCAUUUAAAUGGAGGCAGAAUUUGUGAAACACGUAUUUGACCUUUUGCUUUUCUGGAUGUUCAUAUAGAUUUAAAAAUGAAAUGGAUUGAUCAGAGUAUGGUGAGUUAAGUGUCUACAGCAAUCACUUACAUUGGGAGAUUUUUCAGUUUUACAUUAAAAUAUGUGGUAGUACAGCAAAUUUAAAACUGGAAGAACUUCCCAACCAAAAUGAAAGUCAUGGUUACACAACUUGCCAUACCCUCAUAAAUACAUUUUACCAUCAAUAGUUAAAGUAGAUACCCAACUGUGUGCUGAUUGUGCUGCUACUGAUACUUUUUUGUUAAAUGGUAUUGGUAGCAUGAAGCAAGACUGGAAGUACCAAAAAGCUCUUCUUUAUUUCUUAUAACAAUAAUAAUAAUUAUUAUUACACUUUAUUACAAACAUUGUCAGAGUUAUUGGAGAAAUACAUAAUAGGUGGUACCAAUGGUCAUUACUGAAGGUUGAUACAAGAGACGUAAAACUCUGAAUGGUUCCUAAAAAGCAGAUCUGAUCAAAUUUUACAGAAAGCUACAUGUAAAUAUACAGGAGUAAAAACUGUCACCACUGUUGGCAUGAGAGUUUCCUUAAUGCUAUAGCUAAGACUUUGUAUGUAGUGUUUGACGAUUCAGUAUGGUACUUUUCCAGUAAUGGGUAAUGAAAAUGUCAUGGCGCCUGUGCAGAAGUGCCUAUUUCAUAUUAGAGUUAGCGACCCAUGUGUGCACCUGUUUAAUGUUAAAAAGUGUUGUUUUUAUACGAGUGUUAUUCCAAAAGUAAGGUCCGAUUCGCCGUAACUAUUGAAAUUUGGCGCCAAUGACAAAACACGCAUGCGCGCCGACUCCCGGCAAGCCUUGCGCGUCAAACGCUG